Molecule: ribosomal RNA, 253 nt
Filed under: uncultured bacterium
Lineage: Bacteria
Description: partial 16S ribosomal RNA
Rfam family: Bacterial small subunit ribosomal RNA
Source: RNAcentral
UACGUAGGGGGCUAGCGUUGUCCGGAAUCAUUGGGCGUAAAGAGCGUGUAGGCGGCCCGGUAAGUCCGCUGUAAAAGUCAAAGGCUCAACCUUUGAAUGUCAGUGGAUACUGCCGGGCUAGAGUCCGGAAGAGGCGAGUGGAACUCCUGGUGUAGCGGUGGAAUGCGCAGAUAUCAGGAGGAACACCGGCGGCGAAGGCGGCACUCUGGGCCGGUACUGACGCUGAGGAGCGAAAGCGUGGGUAGCAAACAGG